AAACUGGGAUUAGAUACCCCACUAUGCCUAGCCCUAAACAUUGAUAGAAUUUUACAACCUCUAUCCGCCCGGGGACUACAAGCAUCAGCUUGAAACCCAAAGGACUUGGCGGUGCUUUAGAUCCACCUAGAGGAGCCUGUUCUAGAACCGAUAACCCCCGUUCAACCUCACCCCUCUUUGUUAAUGCCGCCUAUAUACCACCGUCGUCAGCUUACCCUGUGAGGGAUCAAUAGUAAGCUUAACUGGUACAACCCUAAACGUCAGGUCGAGGUGUAGCGUAUGGAGGGGGAAGAAAUGGGCUACAUUCGCUACAACAGCGAACACGAAUGAUGUCCUGAAACGUACAUCUGAAGGAGGAUUUAGCAGUAAGUAGAAAAUAGAGUGUUCUACUGAAAUUGGCCCUGAAGCGCGCACACACCGCC
RNAcentral lists this ribosomal RNA (422 nucleotides) under Pungitius pungitius (ninespine stickleback). RNAcentral's name for it is "partial 12S ribosomal RNA". It matches the Rfam family "Bacterial small subunit ribosomal RNA", at positions 769 to 1394 of the family's 1533-position model. The record is from RNAcentral. Lineage: Eukaryota; Metazoa; Chordata; Actinopteri; Perciformes; Gasterosteidae.